UGUCGCUGGCCUUCAAAGGUCGUGCACGCCCGGGCCCUCUCACAAUCCAUCUCACCCUUUGUGCAUCACCGCGUGGGUCCCCUUUGCGGGAGGGCUCACGUUUUAACAUAAAAACUCGAUACAGUGUAGAAUGUUUAUUUUUGCGGUCACACGCGAUCAAUACAACUUUCAACAACGGAUCUCUUGGCUCUCGCAUCGAUGAAGAACGCAGCGAAAUGCGAUACGUAAUGUGAAUUGCAGAAUUCAGUGAAUCAUCGAAUCUUUGAACGCACCUUGCGCCCCUUGGCAUUCCGAGGGGCACACCCGUUUGAGUGUCGUGAAAUCCUCAAAACCCCUCUUCUUUGGGAGUUUUGGAAUUGGAGGUUUAAUGCUCGCUUUUGCCUUUGAAAGUGAGCUCCUCUCAAAUGAAUCAGUGGGGUCUGCUUUGCUGGUCCUUGACGUGAUAAGAUGUUUCUACGUCUUGGAUUUGGCAUCGUCCCUGCUCCUAAUCGUCUCAUGGACAAUGAUGGUGCUUCCGGUCACCGCCAUCCACAUCGGCGGGAGGCUGGACCCACAAAAAGAAAACCUUGACCUCAAAUCGGGUGAGACUACCCGCUGAACUUAAGCAUAUCA
Molecule: ribosomal RNA, 612 nt
Filed under: Russula jilinensis
Lineage: Eukaryota; Fungi; Basidiomycota; Agaricomycetes; Russulales; Russulaceae
Description: eukaryotic LSU rRNA
Rfam family: 5.8S ribosomal RNA (bases 164-317)
Source: RNAcentral